This 169-nucleotide ribosomal RNA is filed under the name uncultured Nitrosospira sp. RNAcentral describes it as "partial 16S ribosomal RNA". It matches the Rfam family "Bacterial small subunit ribosomal RNA", at positions 337 to 504 of the family's 1533-position model. The record is from RNAcentral. Lineage: Bacteria; Pseudomonadati; Pseudomonadota; Betaproteobacteria; Nitrosomonadales; Nitrosomonadaceae.
UCCUACGGGAGGCAGCAGUGGGGAAUUUUGGACAAUGGGGGCAACCCUGAUCCAGCCAUGCCGCGUGAGUGAAGAAGGCCUUCGGGUUGUAAAGCUCUUUCAGCCGGAAAGAAAUCGCCAUUCCUAAUACGAGUGGUGGAUGACGGUACCGAAGAAGAAGCCCGAUUCC